CCUUGGGGUGUUCCUAUGGCAGUGGAAGGCAUCCGGCUCCCGAGCGGGAAGAGGUUUGUCCCGAUCCAGGCAAAAAAGUUGGCGGCAGGAUCUGGAAGAGCCGGGAAGCAAAAAAAAAACAACCUUGAUUGAGGAUUGAGCCAAGCUCAAUGGGAGAGAAGAGUCCUCAGUUCCCUGUUCCUGCUGUUCACAAUUGCUCUGGGGGCUUUUUUCAGGAAGUUCGUUUGGGAAAACAUCCCAAUUUCCUAGGUGGAAGAAACCCUAAAUUCCCUCCCAGUGAAGAGAGAGUGAGUUUUAGAGAGGAAACAAUGGCUUCAAACAGCAUAUUUGAGUCACUUCCUUCUUACCAGCACUUCUUGAGAGUGACCAAGAGGUUGCAGCGUUCUUGUCGUGUUCUCAGCACCCCCUGUGGAGCUGAUGCUUUAGUCAUGGC
Passer domesticus (house sparrow) is the source of this 433-nucleotide long non-coding RNA. RefSeq lists it as uncharacterized. The record is from RefSeq and is a predicted model, not a curated record. The transcript has 3 exons. NCBI's taxonomy places the organism in Eukaryota, Metazoa, Chordata, Aves, Passeriformes, Passeridae.